Long non-coding RNA from Rosa chinensis, 270 nucleotides. RefSeq lists it as uncharacterized. Lineage: Eukaryota; Viridiplantae; Streptophyta; Magnoliopsida; Rosales; Rosaceae. The record is from RefSeq and is a predicted model, not a curated record. The transcript has 3 exons.
CGAAAGGUGGAAGUGCGGGACGAGAACCUGAAUAUCAUGGCAGAUGUUCAAACAGGAUCAAGAGCUUUGCCUACUUUCAUCAACUAUACUCAUGAUGGUAUAGAGGACACCCAAGUUCUGGCAAAUCUACUUUGCUCACGACUCUUGCAGGAAAACUGGACUCCAGCUUAAAGCGGGCAGCAAAGACUCGGAAAAGAUACACCCAAGAACAACUUGACCAGGUGAACAUUGAAGUGGCUGACUAUUUGCAGACUCUGCUAUAGAUGGAGA